GAAAUUCCUUGAGAAGAAUUGUUGGUUUGUGUGUGAACAGAAGUUUUCAUUUCACUUGAGUGAAUAUCCAGGAUUGAGACUGUUGAGUCACUGGCCAUAAGAACCUUCAGGAAGAGUCGGGGGGUUGGGGGGGUGGUGUGGAUUCUCCCACCUCCCCAACAACUGUUUUAAGCCAGAGCUCUCUGGAAGACCUCACACUGCUGUCCCGGACUCCAAGUGCCCCCGAGCCUCACGACUCUAUGCUUAGGGGGCUACCUCUUCGUUGCUGUGACUCGGUGGAAGUUGGGAGCAGUUUGUCUGCUCCUUGCAUCUCUUCAGGUGGCCAAGAGGAGAACUCCUACCCCAUCAGGACUGCUCCAGGAACUAAGAAAAGGCCAUGUGAACACACAGCAAAAUGGGGGCCAUCUGCAAGACAGAAAGAGAGUUCUCACCAGAAACUAAACUCUACCAGACCUUGAUCUUGGACUUUCCAGCCUCCAGAACUGUGAUAAAAUCAAUUUCUUUUGUUUAAGACACCCUGUCUAUGGUAUUUUGUUAUGGCAGCUUGAGCUGACUAAUACAACCCCCAUCAAACAUCAACACUUUCAAAGGCAAAACAUCAUUUAUUCAAAGAAGAUGUUAUUUGACAAAAUUUUAAAAGAACACACAACAAACAGCAUAAAUUGACGUAGUGUGGAUAAACAUCAUUUGGCGUCCCUUGGCUUCUGAAAUCUAGAUACAAUUGUCUUCAAACCCUUCUUCCCGCCUUUUUGCCACGGGAAGACCACAGUCCACACGGAUGUCUGCACAUCCCUUGAAGGAGGAGGAAGACAUUUCCUCUAACCACUCUGGAUCCUUCUGGCCAGAAAACGAAUAAAAUUCACAUGAGACAGAAUAACAGAAGAAAAUUAAACAAAGCUUUAUAACAUGUAUACAUGGGAGAGACUCAGGCAAACUCAGCUACUUGCCAAAAUGGUAGAAGCUCUCACCUUGAACACCACCCUCAGGAGUGGGCCUUUGUGAUCCUGUGUGCCCCUCAGAAUCCUCUCUCUGGGUUAAGGAAUUGAGCUAAUGUAAAAAAAUUGGAUCUUCUCCCUAGGAAUAUGAAACUGGGGCUCAGAAAAUAGAGAAUACUGUCAGACACCUCAAAGGAAUUAAGACUCUGCCCUGGUUUCUAUGUCAUCCUCCACCAUGAGAUGAAAAAUGAGAGCCCAUAAGGAGUCAGAAAACAAAGCAUUGCCUUUGAAGAUAUGUAUGAGUUGCUAACAAAUGACUGACUCUGGAUCUGAACAAUGAAAGCCAGAGAAUGAAAGACAUACCCAAGCAAAUCAUGCUGAUCAGAAUUACUAAUAUAUGUGAUCUUCUUGGUAUCUGGACAUCAGCUUUUCCAAAGCACCAUUAUUGGCAAAUCUGUAAAUUUUAAAAUCUGCAAUUGUGCUGGGUAGCAAUGGCGCCCUCCAAGUUUCAGUCCCUCACAAUGUGCUGUUCACCCUGCUCCCGAAAGGAUCCCGAGGGCUGGGAGCCAAAUAUAUAUAUCUUUCUCCACUCUCCCCACAAGCAGAAGGUUGCAGAAAUCUCCUUUUGGGAACCUGACCAAUCCUCUAAAAAAGACUUACAGAUAGUGAAGUCGGGAGUUUCUUAACGAGAUGGACAAGUCAAGUCCUGCUAUAAUAAAGGCUCUGUUUUCCGGGAAGAGAAGGAAAUGGAAGGAUUGAGUGCGGAAUUCCUUUGGUACAGAGUGAAGCAUGGCCACAGGCUCGAGAGGUGAUAUGGUGCAGCAGCAAGUUCAUGGGCUUUGAAGUACAGCAGAUUCGGGUGUGAAACCCAGCUCUGGAAAUUACUAGCUGAGGACUUGGAGCUCUACCAAUGCUGCUUACUCAAAUGUGAUAGGACGGCUUAUGCUUAUCUGUGAGUUGAUUGUCAUAGGUGUGUAAUAAGAAAAGAAAUUGAGGAGUAAGGAUUUAAAAACUAUCAAGGUGCCAUUUCUGUGAGAUCACUUUUGUGAUCACUGGGUUUGUCUCACUGAAUGGGGUACAGACUCGCGCAAGCGCUGUUCAACUUGGGACGAAAGCUGCAUUCUAGUUGUGCACAGUAGGACCAGGAGACAACACGUGAUUAUUUAGUUUGACGGGAAGAAUUAAACAACAAUAAGAAGAAAGUAUGGCUAUUUAUUUUAAAAAUCGCAAAUUUUCAUCAUAUUUUAAAUGUAUAGUUUGCCAUUAUUGGAUAAAUUAAGGAAUUAAAUUUUAACUGUAAUUUGCAGAAGGUAAAGAAGAUUUACAAGAAUUGUUUUGUUAAGAAAUGACACAACUUUUCUUUCAGAAGUACUAUAUCAAAUAAUGGGAGUUAUUUCAAGGAAUGAAGAAGAAAUUUUAACUCUAAUUUACACAUGGUUAAAGAAGAUGCACUGCACCUUUUGUCAAGAAAUGGCACACCUUUUCUUUCAGUAGUGUGUUAAAUAAUGAUUGAAUUUGCUUCAGAGAAACGAAGACCAAAAGAGGUCAAGCUAGUUUUACUCAGAACUAUUAUCCCUCAUAUAUUAAAUUUAUUUUGUAGCUAUAAUAGGUGAUGAAGUGAUAAAAAAGAGUGUUAUUUGCUGAGAUGAAUUAGCUACUGAAGCAAUUAAACCAUCAAAACUUAAGUGGCGUUUACAUUCACAGCAUAAAGAAAUACAUCCAAAGCCACAAGAAUACUUUGAAAGGAAGAGUAUUGAAAUAGAAAGCUGACGGUAGCAGAUGUUCGAUAUUUCACAUAUAAACUUUACUGCUUUGCAGACUUUGUAUAAGGUAGCACUUCAGUUUCCUAAGAAUAAAAACAUCAUAUACAAUUACUGAGAAGCUAGUGAACAACUGUAUUAAAGAGUUUAUCUGGAAAUGUGUCUAUGGCAAAGCAGGUGACUCAAGUAUCACUUGCCAAUAAAACUAUAACUUGACAUAUUCAAAAAUUGGCUAAUGAGAUAGAAGACCAACUUACAGAAAAAAAUAAAGCUAGCGAAGUUUUUUUGUUUUUGGUUUUUUUCAGUGAGGAAGUUUGACCCUGAGCUAACAUCUGACACCCAUCUUCCUCUUUUACACCUAGGAAGAUUGUUGCCGAGCUAACAUCUGUGCCAAUCUUCCUCUAGUUUUUGUAUGUGGGAUGCUGCCACAGCAUGGCUUGAUGAGUGGUGUGUAGGUCUGCUCCUGAAAUCUGACCCCAGAAACCAAGGAUGCUGAAGCAGAGCUCACGAAUUUAACUAUGCCAACGGGCUGGCCCCUGCAAAGUAUUUUUUAUUACAAUUUGAUGAAUUCCAUAGCAUAACAUGGUAAUGCUUUUAAAAUUUAUGCAGUCUAAACAUUAUGUUGAUAUGAUGGAGGAAUAUUUUUCAGAUUAAUUGAUGACAAACAUGACUAGCCCUGAAUUGUGCAAAACUAUGACAGGUAGCAUUGUCAACAAAUGUGGUUUGGAAUUUAAGUUUUGUGUAGGAGUAUGUUCUGUGGGGUAGUCAUCCAGAAUAAGAAGCUUGCGACAGAAUGUAAAUUGAUACAGUACUUCUUCACAGAGAAAAUAUUGCCAAAAAAAAAAAAAUCAACUGUCAGCUAUUCAGUUGGUUUAGAUGUGAACUAUGUAAAGACUGUGUGUUAUAUUUUAAAAUAUUCUUUUAAUUAUAUGAUAAUACAGAAGAUGAUCAUAAAUGACUGAUAUUGCAUGUAGGAUUAUGAUAGCUAACUGAGAAAAAUAUUUUAUUGAGAGUGCUUGACAUAUGGAACACACUCCAAAUAUUCUUCAAGAUAAACUGGUUUUGUCACAGUUUUAAGGAAGUGAAUUGGACAGCCAGACUUGCUAAUUGCUUUGAUAUAUUUGGUAUUUUUAAUUCUUUAUUACUUCCACGCAAUGAAUAAAUUUAACAUGAUUUCAAUGACAGAUAAAAUCAAGGGCACACGAAAAAGUUAAAAGUUUAGAACAGUGUCUAUAGAUUGUUACACAACAUUCCAUAAUUAACAAUAAUUAUAAAUGAAGCAGAUGAUGAUUUUGAUGUUGGCCAUUUGCAAAAAGGUUGUCAAUGGACACCUUAACCAUUUGAUAUAUCAUUUUAAUUUUAUUUUCCAUUAAAAGGAAAUCCAUACAUAGGAAACUCGUGGAUCCAGAUUUUAUUCCUUUCAUUGAAAGAUAAUUUAAAUUUAACUAUGAGAUAAAGUUUAUAAGAUAAACUGGUGAGACUGGCUACUGGUGAGAAUUGAAGAUGAAUUUUGAAAGGACAGCAUCACUUGCAUCAUUUUGGAUGAAAGUUAAAAAUGAAUAUACUGAGCUUGCUGAAAGUGUUUUUAAAAUUUCUUCUUCCAUUUCUACUAAUAUACUUCUGCGAGAUUGGUUACUAUGAGCAUCAUUCAAACGUAACAUAGAUGUAUUUAAAUAUAUAUUAAAUAAUAUUGUAAUCAUGCAACCUAAAUUAAAUAAAUUAACAUGUGGAAAUCCAGAUACUUUAUCAGAUUAAAAACUUUAAAUAUUGGUUGCACAUCGUUCAUUCAAAAUGUAAAUAGGCAUUUAAUAUGAG
RNAcentral lists this long non-coding RNA (4510 nucleotides) under Equus caballus (horse). Its description in RNAcentral is "lncRNA (ENSECAG00000040711.2)". Lineage: Eukaryota; Metazoa; Chordata; Mammalia; Perissodactyla; Equidae. The record is from RNAcentral.